UACGGAGGGGGCUAGCGUUGUUCGGAAUUACUGGGGGUAAAGGGUGCGCAGGCGGCCAUCCAAGUCGGGGGUGAAAGCCCGGAGCUCAACUCCGGAAUUGCCAUUGAAACUGUUUGGCUCGAGUACGAGAGAGGUGAGUGGAAUUCCCAGUGUAGAGGUGAAAUUCGUAGAUAUUGGGAAGAACACCGGUGGCGAAGGCGGCUCACUGGCUCGUAACUGACGCUCAUGCACGACAGCGUGGGGAUCAAACAGG
Molecule: ribosomal RNA, 253 nt
Filed under: uncultured bacterium
Lineage: Bacteria
Description: partial 16S ribosomal RNA
Rfam family: Bacterial small subunit ribosomal RNA
Source: RNAcentral